This 269-nucleotide small nucleolar RNA is filed under the name Chinchilla lanigera (long-tailed chinchilla). Its description in RNAcentral is "Small Cajal body specific RNA 6 (ENSCLAG00000019402.1)". It matches the Rfam family "Small Cajal body specific RNA 6". Rfam says of the family: U88 is small Cajal body specific RNA (scaRNA). scaRNAs are a novel class of small nuclear RNAs which localise to the Cajal bodies. U88 is found associated with both fibrillarin and Gar1p and co-localises with coilin in Cajal bodies. U88 scaRNA is composed of both an H/ACA box and a C/D box conserved domains domains and is predicted to guide 2'-O-methylation of residue U41 of the U5 snRNA. The record is from Rfam by way of RNAcentral. Lineage: Eukaryota; Metazoa; Chordata; Mammalia; Rodentia; Chinchillidae.
GGUCGAUGAUGAUUGGUAAAAGGUCUGAUGCACUGAACGUCACCGUCCUCUCCUGGCCUCAGCUCCCAGCAGCCCGUCGUGUUUCCUGGUACAGUUAAGUCAUGUGCACGGGGCAGCGGGGCAGCUGACACGCAGGGACCCUGUUGGCGUGUGUUCCUGAGAGAGAGCGGUUCACGGCCUACCCGGGUCCAACAUGACCUCUUGCACAGGAGCGUGACGAGGGCUGGAGGGCGUGACAGUGCAUGAUCUCAAGUUUUCAAUCUGAGACC